This 465-nucleotide ribosomal RNA is filed under the name uncultured Klebsiella sp. RNAcentral describes it as "bacterial SSU rRNA". It matches the Rfam family "Bacterial small subunit ribosomal RNA", at positions 338 to 795 of the family's 1533-position model. Lineage: Bacteria; Pseudomonadati; Pseudomonadota; Gammaproteobacteria; Enterobacterales; Enterobacteriaceae. The record is from RNAcentral.
CCUACGGGUGGCUGCAGUGGGGAAUAUUGCACAAUGGGCGCAAGCCUGAUGCAGCCAUGCCGCGUGUGUGAAGAAGGCCUUCGGGUUAUAAAGCACUUUCAGCGGGGAGGAAGGCGGUGAGGUUAAUAACCUCAUCGAUUGACGUUACCCGCAGAAGAAGCACCGGCUAACUCCGUGCCAGCAGCCGCGGUAAUACGGAGGGUGCAAGCGUUAAUCGGAAUUACUGGGCGUAAAGCGCACGCAGGCGGUCUGUCAAGUCGGAUGUGAAAUCCCCGGGCUCAACCUGGGAACUGCAUUCGAAACUGGCAGGCUAGAGUCUUGUAGAGGGGGGUAGAACUCCAGGUGUAGCGGUGAAAUGCGUAGAGAUCUGGAGGAAUACCGGUGGCGAAGGCGGCCCCCUGGACAAAGACUGACGCUCAGGUGCGAAAGCGUGGGGAGCAAACAGGAUUAGAUACCCCAGUAGUC